RNAcentral lists this ribosomal RNA (516 nucleotides) under uncultured bacterium. RNAcentral's name for it is "bacterial SSU rRNA". It matches the Rfam family "Bacterial small subunit ribosomal RNA", at positions 9 to 526 of the family's 1533-position model. The record is from RNAcentral.
GAGUUUGAUCCUGGCUCAGGAUGAACGCUGGCGGCGUGCUUAACACAUGCAAGUCGAACGGGAAAUAUUUCAUUGAGACUUCGGUGGAUUUGAUCUAUUUCUAGUGGCGGACGGGUGAGUAACGCGUGGGUAACCUGCCUUAUACAGGGGGAUAACAGUCAGAAAUGGCUGCUAAUACCGCAUAAGCGCACAGAGCUGCAUGGCUCAGUGUGAAAAACUCCGGUGGUAUAAGAUGGACCCGCGUUGGAUUAGCUAGUUGGUGGGGUAACGGCCCACCAAGGCGACGAUCCAUAGCCGGCCUGAGAGGGUGAACGGCCACAUUGGGACUGAGACACGGCCCAGACUCCUACGGGAGGCAGCAGUGAGGGAUAUUGCACAAUGGGCGAAAGCCUGAUGCAGCGACGCCGCGUGAGCGAAGAAGUAUUUCGGUAUGUAAAGCUCUAUCAGCAGGGAAGAUAAUGACGGUACCUGACUAAGAAGCACCGGCUAAAUACGUGCCAGCCGCCGCGGUAAUAC